UUUUGCUAACUUGUGUAUGUUUUUCAGUUGGUACAUUUUAGCAAUGUGUACCAGAUUUCAGUAGACAAAAAUACCCUUAUAUCAUAAAUUCUAAGUUUUAAGGUUAAGGGUAUUUUAAUAAUUUUCAUUCUCAAAAUUAAAAAAAUAAAAAAAGAAACCCCCAAUCCCUUAUCCACCUAUCUCAUUCCUCUCAACCUUUCUCUUUCAUCUCUUUCACUCCAACAUUUUCUCUGUCAUCCCUACUCUAGCCCUAAUUGAAAAAAAUCAAAAACACUUGUCUUAUUUUAAUAAUUUUCAUUCUCAAAAUUAAAAAAAAAAACCCCAAACCCUUACUCACCUCCUUCAUUCCUCUCAACCUUUUCUCAUUCAUCUCUCUCACUCAACA
This 385-nucleotide long non-coding RNA is filed under the name Vigna radiata. RNAcentral's name for it is "long non-coding RNA (VRAD_LNC007282)". The record is from RNAcentral. Lineage: Eukaryota; Viridiplantae; Streptophyta; Magnoliopsida; Fabales; Fabaceae.